Molecule: ribosomal RNA, 292 nt
Filed under: uncultured bacterium
Lineage: Bacteria
Description: partial 16S ribosomal RNA
Rfam family: Bacterial small subunit ribosomal RNA
Source: RNAcentral
GUUACAGCCGCCGCGGUAAUACGUAGGGUGCGAGCGUUGUCCGGAAUUAUUGGGCGUAAAGGGCUCGUAGGCGGUUUGUCGCGUCGGGAGUGAAAACACCGGGCUUAACUCGGUGCUGGCUUCUGAUACGGGCAGACUGGAGGUAUGCAGGGGAGAACGGAAUUCCUGGUGUAGCGGUGAAAUGCGCAGAUAUCAGGAGGAACACCGGUGGCGAAGGCGGUUCUCUGGGCAUGUCCUGACGCUGAGGAGCGAAAGUGUGGGGAGCGAACAGGAUUAGAUACCCGAGUAGUCC